This 617-nucleotide ribosomal RNA is filed under the name uncultured Pseudomonadota bacterium. RNAcentral describes it as "bacterial SSU rRNA". It matches the Rfam family "Bacterial small subunit ribosomal RNA", at positions 28 to 627 of the family's 1533-position model. Lineage: Bacteria; Pseudomonadati; Pseudomonadota. The record is from RNAcentral.
AACGAACGCUGGCGGCGUGCCUAACACAUGCAAGUCGAGCGCGAAUGGAGCAAUCCUAGUAGAGCGGCGCACGGGUGCGUAACACGUGGGUAAUCUGCCCAGAAGUCCGGAACAACCUGCCGAAAGGCUGGCUAAUACCGGAUAAGCCUACGGGGACUUCGGUCCCUGAAGGAAAAGGUGGCCUCUGUAUACAAGCUAUCGCUUCUGGAUGAGCCCGCGGCCCAUCAGCUAGUUGGCGGGGUAACGGCCCACCAAGGCAACGACGGGUAGCUGGUCUGAGAGGACGAUCAGCCACACUGGAACUGAGACACGGUCCAGACUCCUACGGGAGGCAGCAGUGGGGAAUUUUGCACAAUGGGCGAAAGCCUGAUGCAGCAACGCCGCGUGUGUGAUGAAGGUCUUCGGAUCGUAAAGCACUUUCGACCGGGAAGAACACCUUUUGGCUAACAUCCAAAGGCUUGACGGUACCGGGAGAAGAAGCACCGGCUAACUCUGUGCCAGCAGCCGCGGUAAUACAGAGGGUGCAAGCGUUGUUCGGAAUUAUUGGGCGUAAAGCGCGUGUAGGCGGCUUUGCAAGUCGGGUGUGAAAGCCCUCAGCUUAACUGAGGAAGUGCGCC